Molecule: unclassified non-coding RNA, 546 nt
Filed under: Hevea brasiliensis (rubber tree)
Lineage: Eukaryota; Viridiplantae; Streptophyta; Magnoliopsida; Malpighiales; Euphorbiaceae
Source: RNAcentral
CCUCGAAGGCCCCGAUACCCGCGACAUCUGCUACGCGACACAAAACCGCCAGUCUUCGGUGCGAGAUCUCAGCAAGCUCGUCGAUGUCAUCCUGGUUGUCGGCGCGACGAACAGCUCCAACUCCAACCGCCUCCGCGAGAUCGGGACCGAAGUCGGCGUCCCGAGCUACCUCAUCGCCGACGGCAGCCAGCUCAAUCCCGAAUGGUUGAAAGACGCGAAGACCGUCGGCAUCACCGCGGGCGCCUCGGCGCCGGAGGUGUUGGUGGACGAUGUGAUUGACGCCCUGCGGAGAAUCGGACCUGCGGAGAAUCGGACCGGUGACAGUGUCCGUGCUGCCGGGUCGGGAGGAAAACAUCGAGUUCAGACUGCCGGCCGAGCUGACCCAACGUCAGCCGCGCCUCGCUCCCGUGAUGCAAGAAAGANGCGAUGCAAGAAAGAUAAACGUUCAUGGCGAUACCGUUUUUCAAAGAGAUCAAGAUCGGCUCCUAUCUGGUGAAGCAGAAGCUGCUUGGCCGGAAACGCUAUCCGUUGGUGCUGAUGCUGGAG